Molecule: ribosomal RNA, 472 nt
Filed under: uncultured bacterium
Lineage: Bacteria
Description: bacterial SSU rRNA
Rfam family: Bacterial small subunit ribosomal RNA
Source: RNAcentral
GAUGAACGCUAGCGACAGGCUUAACACAUGCAAGUCGAGGGGCAGCACGGUGUAGCAAUACACUGGUGGCGACCGGCGCACGGGUGAGUAACACGUGUGCAACCAACCCCGUACCGGGAGAUAACCCGCGGAAACGUGGACUAACAUCCCAUAACACUCUAGAGCCGCAUGGUUCUGGAUUUAAAACCCCGGUGGUACGGGACGGGCACGCGCGACAUUAGGUAGUUGGCGGGGUAACGGCCCACCAAGCCGACGAUGUCUAGGGGUUCUGAGAGGAAGGUCCCCCACACUGGAACUGAGACACGGUCCAGACUCCUACGGGAGGCAGCAGUGAGGAAUAUUGGUCAAUGGGCGCGAGCCUGAACCAGCCAAGUCGCGUGAGGGAUGAAUGGUCCAUGGCCUGUAAACCUCUUUUGUCAAGGAAGAAUAAAAGGUACGUGUACCUUCUUGCCAGUACUUGACGAAUAAGCAU